RNAcentral lists this ribosomal RNA (242 nucleotides) under uncultured bacterium. RNAcentral's name for it is "partial 16S ribosomal RNA". It matches the Rfam family "Bacterial small subunit ribosomal RNA", at positions 118 to 347 of the family's 1533-position model. The record is from RNAcentral.
UGAGCAAUCUGCCCUUCUCAUCGGAAUAAGCGUUGGAAACGACGUCUAAUGCCGAAUACGACCUCCUUUCGCAUGAUCGGAGGUGGAAAGCUCCGGCGGAGAAGGAUGAGCUCGCGGCCUAUCAGCUAGUUGGUGUGGGUAAUGGCCCACCAAGGCGACGACGGGUAGCCGGCCUGAGAGGGUGACCGGCCACACUGGGACUAGACGACGCCGACGACUCCUACGGGUACGGGAGACGACGG